AAAUGAGAGAGAUGAUGAUUCUAAGGCCACCCUAUCCCAGCCAUAUUAUUCACAUAUCGAGUCCCAACAGUAACAGUGUAGGGAUGAGCACGACAGUGCAGGUGAGCAUGAAGGAUGGACAAUCUUCGGGGAUUUUAGAUUGGGAACACAACAAAACACUAACACUCAGGGAUUUGGGAAUAGUCAGACGCCUGCUAAUAU
RNAcentral lists this long non-coding RNA (201 nucleotides) under Amborella trichopoda. RNAcentral's name for it is "long non-coding RNA (ATRI_LNC005411)". Lineage: Eukaryota; Viridiplantae; Streptophyta; Magnoliopsida; Amborellales; Amborellaceae. The record is from RNAcentral.